RNAcentral lists this ribosomal RNA (277 nucleotides) under uncultured bacterium. RNAcentral describes it as "partial 16S ribosomal RNA". It matches the Rfam family "Bacterial small subunit ribosomal RNA", at positions 524 to 791 of the family's 1533-position model. The record is from RNAcentral.
UACGGGGGAGACAAGUGUUAUUCGUAAUGAUUGGGGCGUAAAGGGUAUUUAGGUGAUUCAAUAAGUUAUUAAUCAAAUAUCAAAUUUCAAGUUUGAUUUUUGGGGUUUUAAUACUGUAUGAAGUAGAGUUCGAAAAAGGAUUGCGGUACUCUUGGUGUAGAGGUAAAAUUCAUAGAUACUAAUGGGGACCAUCAAUAGGCGAAAGCGGCAAUCUUGUUCGAUACUGACACUGAAAAACUAAAGCAUGGGGAGCAAACAGGAUUAGAAACCCCCAGAU